This 424-nucleotide ribosomal RNA is filed under the name uncultured bacterium. RNAcentral describes it as "bacterial SSU rRNA". It matches the Rfam family "Bacterial small subunit ribosomal RNA", at positions 355 to 796 of the family's 1533-position model. The record is from RNAcentral.
UGGGGAAUCUUGCACAAUGGGGGCAACCCUGAUGCAGCGACGCCGCGUGAGCGAUGAAGCCCUUCGGGGUGUAAAGCUCUUUCGGCAGGAACGAUAAUGACGGUACCUGAAGAAGAAGCUGCGGCUAACUACGUGCCAGCAGCCGCGGUAAUACGUAGGCAGCAAGCGUUGUUCGGAGUUACUGGGCGUAAAGAGUGUGUAGGUGGUUCUCUAAGUUUGGUGUGAAAUCUCCCGGCUCAACUGGGAGGGUGCGCCGAAAACUGGAGGGCUUGAGUGUGGGAGAGGAAAGCGGAAUUCCUGGUGUAGCGGUGAAAUGCGUAGAUAUCAGGAGGAACACCUGCGGUGUAGACGGCUUUCUGGACCAUUACUGACACUGAGACACGAAAGCGUGGGGAGCAAACAGGAUUAGAUACCCCUGUAGUCC